The sequence is a transfer RNA, 75 nucleotides long. It matches the Rfam family "tRNA". Rfam says of the family: Transfer RNA (tRNA) molecules are approximately 80 nucleotides in length. Their secondary structure includes four short double-helical elements and three loops (D, anti-codon, and T loops).
GCCGGGGUAGCUCAGUGGUAGAGCGAGGGCCUGAAGAGCCCUGCGUCGGGGGUUCAAUUCCCUCUCCCGGCACCA